UAACCUAAUUCCUUUCCUUGGAGACUUUGAGAACCUUCUCCAUUGUUGCCAUUUUCAUCUCUAACACCCUUUCUCAAGUUGGAGAGGGAUGAAAGUACUCCCAACUUGCCCAAUAAUCGGUGAUGAAAAGGGCCAGUAAGAGGCUUUGUGAAAAAAUCAGCGAGCUAAGAAGAGGAGCGAACAAAUGAUAGUAAAAUCAAACUUGCCAUGAACUGCUGAUGAACGAAACGAAAACCAAGCUUUGCAUGCUUUGUUCUUUCAUGAAAGACAGAGUCUUUUAGCUAUGUGAAUCGCCGCUUGGCUGUCAGAGUGAAGAGGGACCGGGAGGGAUAUUGGAAUAGAUAAAUCAUCAAAGAGUCUGACUAACCAGGUAAGCUCUGCGACUACACGCCGCAUGGAUCGAUACUCAGCUUCUGCAGAGCUUAGAGAAAUUGUGGUCUACUUCUUCAAUUUCCAAGAAAUAGGAGAAAAUCCCAGCGAAAUGUAGAAACCACUGACAGAUUUGUGCGAUUCUGAGCAUGUGCUCCAAUCGGAGUCACAGAAAGCCAGCAACUGAUACGAAGGGGAGGAAGUCAUGAAUAAACCAAGACCAAGAUCCUUUGAUGAAUAUCGAAGGACACGAAGGGCUGCUUGCAUGUGAGGAACUCUUUGAACCUGCAUAUAUUGGCUUAGAUGUUGUACAGUGAAGGAAAGAUCCGGCCUUGUAUGAGUUAAAUAGUUCAGCUUUCCCAACAAAUGGCGAUACAAGGUCGGGUCUUAGAUAGGAGCACCAGUUUUGGCCAACAAUUUGAUAAUGGGAUCAAGUGGACAAGAAACGGAUGGCUUGUGAGUACAAUAAAAUUCCAGCAACAAAUCAACACUGAAUUUCCGCUGAGUAAGAAUUAGUCCCUUAGAUUCACGCAGUACCUCCAUUCCAAGAAAAUAAUGUAAGUUCCCUAAAUCCUUUAUUUUGAAUUCCUGAUGUAGAAAAACUUUCAAAGCAUGUAGCUCCUCUAAAUUAUUUCCUGUCAAGAGUAUAUCAUCGACAUAGACUGCCACUAUAGAGAAAGAGGAGUCAGACCUUUUAAAGAAUAGGAAAUAAUCAUUGAGAUAAUGGGAGAAACCUUUAAAAUUAAGAGUUGCUGUUAAUUUAGCAUACCACUGCCGGGAUGCUUGACGAAGCCCAUAUAGUGACUUAUUUUACUUGCAAACGUGUGUAGGAGGAGGAGGAGAGAAACCAAUUGGAAACUUCAUGUACACCUCUUCAUUCAAAUCCCCAUGCAGAAAUGUAUUAUUCACAUCUAACUAAAAAAUUCCCAACCUUUCUUAACUGCUGUAUCUAGAAUGCAUUUGAUGGUGGUCAUUUUUACCACUGGGGAAAAUGUUUCAUUGAAGUCUAUCCCUUCUUUUUGAAUAUCCCCUCUAACUACACGUCUAGCUUUGAGACUUUCCACACUUCCAUCAGAGUUAUGCUUUACUUUAUACACCCACUUGCACGGUAAUGCCUUUCUACCAGGAGGUAAUUCCAUGACCUCCAAGGUGUGAUUGAGCUCAAGUGCCUCUAUCUCUCUUUCUAUUGCUUCCUGCCAUCCUGGGUGAUGGGCUGCUUGGGUAUAACUGGUUGGUUCUUGGAUAGCGGAUAGGGAAUUUAGGAGAUUUUGUUUGGAUGUAGAUAGGUUAUUGAAUGGAAAACUAGAAGGUGUUACAGGUGACAGGAAACAAGAACCACUUACAUCAGUCAAUUGAAUAUCAUUGCAAAUGUAGUCCUUGAGGUAAGGGGGAGGGUUGUGUGGCCUUGAGAAUUUUCUAAUAAGAUUGUCCAACAUGGGUUCAGUAGCUGAAGGUGAAGCAGUAUGAAUGAGAGAGUGAGAGACAAAAGAAGAAGAUGGUGUAGGACUGGAAGGUGGAAAAUCAGGAAAGUCUUGCACAGGAUGAUCUUCAUUAGGCAGUUCUGAAUGUUCAGUAGUAGGUUGUGGUAAAUCAAGGGAGAAGGUAUGAGAACUGGACAUUAGUGAAGUAGGUAAAAACGAGUCAGUUGACCCCUUGGAUGUGAUGAGGAAAAAGGGAAGAAUUCUUCAGGAAAAAUAACAUUCCUAGAAACAAAAGGCUUUAGAGUGCUAAGAUUGAGAACCGUGUACCCAUUCUUUCCAUGUGGAUAACCUAAGAAACACAAGGCAUAGCCCUUAGUUGGAAUUUUGUUUUGUGACUUGAGAGAGUAGAAACAAAACACAGACACCCAAAACACCUCAAAUUAAAGUAACUAGGUUUGGAUUUAAAAAGAUCCUCAUAGGGUUUUUUUGUAAGAAAGAACUUUGGAAGGAAAACUAUUGUCAAGUAUGUAGCAGUUAGAACGCAAUCCCCGCAAUAAGCAAUAGGCAAUUUUGAUUGGAAGAGAAGGGCUCGAGAUGUCUCUAAAGGUGUUUAUGUUUCCUCUCCACAACCCCAUUUUGUUGUGGAGAAGCUACACAAGUAGUCUGAUGCAUAAUUCCAUGUGAAGAAAACUAAUUAGACUGCAGACUCCCACUCCCUAAUUCAAAAGCAUUGUCUGACCUUAUUGUCUUGACCUGGGUAUUGAAUUGUCUUUCCACCAUUGCUAAAAAUGACUUAAGAAUUAGGAAUGCAUUUGAUUUUGUACUUAGUAGAUAAGUCCAUGUUCCUCUACUGUAGUCAUCAAGAAUUGUAAAAAAAUAUUUGUAACCAUCAUAGUUUGGCUGCUAUAGGGAUCCCAUGGGUCUAUGUGAAUUAAUGCAAAAAAUUUCUUUGUGGAAAUAGAACUAAUGGGAAAAGGGAGUUUGGACUAUCUAGCCAUAGGAUAAACAACACAAGGCACAGAAAACUUUGAACAAGGUGAAAUAGGAAUAAUAGAUAUAUUUCUCAUGGAACAAAUUGUUUGUCAUUGAAACUCUUUCUAGAUACAAAACUACUAUUGGAAAGUAAAAAACUCUUGGGAAUGGCAGUUGUAGGCCUUGAUUGAAGAAUGUAGAGACCACUUCUCUCCUUGCCAAUCUCCAGAGGGCUCUUCAAAGAAUGGCCUGCAAAAAACAAGAAGUAGAAGUAAAAAAGAGUGGAUUACUAAGCUGCUUACAUAAUUUGUGCACAGAUAGAAGAUUGUACUUAACAGAAGGUAUAUGCAACACAUUGUGUACUACCAGAUUAGAGAAAAGAGCUACUGAUCCAUAAUGAGUUACUAAAACUUUCUGAGAAUUAGGAAGAUUGAUUAUUCUACGCUUGAAUAAAGGCUUGAGAUUAGGAAAAAAAUUCUUAUUAUAAGACAUAUGUUCUGAAGCACCACUAUCUAGUAUCCAUGAAUGACUGUUGAAUUGAAAGAAACAUGCAGGUGACUUAAAGAAUUUGGGUGUACCAGCACAGUUUGCACUUGCAGUACCAUCAGAAGUACUUCCUCUUUGCUGUCCAUCUUCAACUGUUGAAAAAAGCUGAAGUAGCUGAGUUACAUUCUCCUGGUAAGUGAUUUUCCUUCAGUGAUUCCAAAUACCUAUUCUCCUUCUUCAUUUGAUAUUAGAGCAUUGUUUGCCUGGGCUGGUCCCUAAAAUUUCCUUGGCUUUGUGAAUUUGAAAUCUGCAGGAAAACCAUGGAUCCUAUAGCACUUAUCAAUGAUAUGUCCUGGCUUCUUGCAGUAAGCACAAAUCCCUGAACUCUUCUUUGCAUCAUAGGACCCCUUCUGUCCUUUGGAAUCACCAUAUUUCUUCACAUCUGCUUGGUUUAUUACCAUGAAGGAACUAGACUCCCCUGGGUAGGCAGGUACAAUAUGAAUUUCUCUUUGUUUUUCAUCUUGUAUUACCAAAGAGUAUGCCUUACCAAUGGAAUAUAAAGGAGAUGACAACAAUAUGUUUCUCCUAACUCCUAUGAAGGUUUCAUUCAUACCUAUAAGGAAUUUCAAAAGUCUCUCAUCUUGAUGAGCAUUGAUGCUCUUUGCCUUAGCCCCACAAUCACACUCACACACACAAGUACAAAAGGUAUUGAGUGCAUCUAGCUCAUCCCAUAAUCCUUUCAUCUUAGUAAAAUAGGUUGAAACACUCGAGUUACCUUGCACCACAACACUUAGUUCUUUUUGUAGCUGAAAUAACUUGGCUCCACUUGCCUGACCAAACCAAUCUUCCAGAUCAUGCCAUAGAUCUUUUGCACUCUCUGAGUACAAGACACUCUCAGCAAUUUCUUUGGAAAGUGAGAGGAGAAGCCAAGAAAGGACCAUGUCGUUGCAUCUUGCCCAAGCUCUUUGAAGACCAGAAUUUGCGUCUGGAAUAUCUAGGGUUCCAUCAAUGAAUCCUAGGUUGUUCUUAGCGGAUAAAGCUAUGACUAAGGCACUCCUCCACCCACCAUAUCCUCUGCCAUCAAAUACUGAGGAGACCGGUUCGUUCUUGGGUAGUCUGAAGGAUGGAGGUAAUAGGGACGAGUUGAAUCAACUAAACCAAUACCACUAGAACCAGCAGAUACAUUAGUUGUUGGAAUAGGGGGAGAGGAUCUGUAAAAGAAGAAGAUGAAUUUGAAUAAUAAAGAAAUGUGGCUUAAAGCAGAUCAACACUGCUCUGAUACCAUGAAGGAAUAGGAAUAAAAUAGAUUGAGAAAAUUAUCUUUUCUGCAUUGAAUGAAUCAAUAGUGUUGUACAGAACAUUGUUUAUAUACAACAGGGAUGGAAUCUAAAAUAACUACUUAUGCUACGUGUCUCUAAUUUAUUAGCUAAGCUAUAACAAACUAAAGUGUGAUGACCCGGCCGGUCGUCUUUUUAUGCCCCGUUUCCCUAUUAACUGCUUCCUCUAAGUUCAUUUAUACUAUUUUGGUUUGUCGAGAUGUUCGGUAAUAGAAUUCGGAGUGUUUUGGGACACUUAGUCCCUAAGUGAGAGCUUAAGUGUUAAAAAUGGUCCAUAAUUAUAACGGUGUGAAGACGACCUCGAAAUGGAAAUUCAAUGGUUCCGUUAUCUCUGUUAGGUGAUUUCGGGGUUGGGAGCAUGUUUGGAAUGUAUUUUGGAUGUCCGUAGCUCAUUUAGGCUAGAAAUGCCGAAAGUUAAAAUUUUGAUGUUUCCAGUCCGAUAGUGAAUUUUUGAUUUGAGGGUUUGAACGGGAUUCUGGAAGUUUCUGUAGCACCGUCAUGUCAAUCGAACGUGUAUUGGUUAGGUUUUGAAUCGAAAGCGAGUUUUGUUAAGUUUUGAAGUUUUUAAGUUCGAAUUAUUGAUUAAUUCGAGUUUCUGGCGUUGUUGUAGGUAGCUUAAGGAUUGGGAAAAGUUUGAAUGAUGUUAUGGGAUAUGUCUGUAGGUUUGGUUGAGGUCCCGGGGGCCUCGGGUGUGUUUCGGAUGCUCAACGGAGCAUUUUUGGAGUAGAAAACAUUGCAGAAUUCUUCAGCUGUUGCAUGUCUUUUUUUCCUUCGCGAUCGCGUCCCAUUUCACGCGGCCGCAUAGGCCAAUCUGGUAGGGUCCGAAAUUCCUUAAUCGCGAUCGCAGGGAUUGGUUUGCAAUCGCGUAACUCUACCUCUCCCCUAUUCGCGUUCGCGUGCCUUCUUACGCGAUUGCGUAAGGCCAUCUCUUUCCCGUCCGCGAUCGCAUGCUCCUUCUCAUGAUCGCAUAGGGCUCUUUCCUGGAGCCUUUAUUUUGAUCUUCGCGAUCGCGUCCCUAUCUUCGCGAUUGCGAUUCACUAAAUACCUGGGUAAAUAUUAAUAUUUCAAUAACUAAGCCUUCUUCCAUUUUUACAAAAACUCAAGCUAGAGAGCUCGGUCUUGGGAGAUUUUUUGAGGGAUUUUCAGAGGCAAAUAUUGGGUAAUGAUUCCUUACUCCUCUAUGACUAAAACCCACUAAUCUAAUCGUAAUUUCAACCUUUAAUUUCGGAUUUUUGAAUGAAAAUUGGGGUAAAGUUCUUAGAUCUAAUUGUGAGGAUUUGAUGGGUUAUUUGACCUCCAAUUUGGGAGAUUUUUAUAUGGUUAGACUCGUGAGAGUACGAGGUUUAUGAAAAUAUGAAAAUUAUUCGAUUCCGAGACAUUGACCUGAGGAGCAUUUUGAUUAUUUUACCUAUUCUCGCGCCUUAGCUUUAAUUUAAUUGAGACGUUGGCUGUAGGGAAAAUNNNNNNNNNNNNUUGAUCAAGACAAUGUUUCUGAAAAUGUGAAAAUUAUUCAAUUUUGAGACGUUGGCUGUAGGGAAAAUUUGGUCAUUUCACAUAUUUUCGCGCCUUAGCUUUAAUUUUAACAGUGUAAUUAGUUGUUACUUGUGAUGUUAUUUACAAUAUGUAAUUGGUUUGAAUAGAUUUGGGCCACUCGGAGUCUGAUAUUCAUGGCAAAGGCAUUGUUUGUUAGCAAUUUUGUACCGGUUCGAGGUAAGUGGCUUGUCUAACUUUUUGUGGGGAACUCUCCCCUUAGGAUGCUGUUGUUUAAAUGCCUUGUGUGCGAGGUGACGGGCGCGUACUUGUACUAGUUGUUGAAAAUUCACCUUACUUGGCUUAUUUAGACUGUGUUUCUCCGUAUAUUUAGCUGUUAAAAUGCAAUUUCACUUGUUUUAUCUUAGGAAAAGCAUGUUAGUAAUUUAUUUGCUCUAUUUGACUAAAUUGCAAUAUCUGUCCUUUUUGUAAGGAUGCUAGGCUCUAGAUCUUUACAUGUUGUUGUACUUGGCUUCUUUCUAUUAAAUAUUGAAUUGUUUGUGAUAUGUUUACGAUUGGGACUACGAGUUCAAUUCCCCGGAGAUCCCCCUAUUACUUAUAUGAUAGACUACGGUUUAAAUUCCUGGCAUAUUCUCUGUUAUUGAUAUGAUGGACUACGAGUUCAAUUCCUGAUAGAUCCCAUGCUGUUUAUAUGAUGGACUACAGGUUCAAUUCCCGGUAGAUCCUCUGUUAUUGACAGGAUGGACUACGGGUUAGAUUCUCGGUAGAUCUCCUAUUAUUGAUAUGAUAGACUAAGGGUCCAAUUCACGGUAGAUCCUCUAUUAUUGAUGUGAUGGACUGCGGAUUCAAUUCCCGGGAGAUCCUCUGAUGUUAGUAUGAUGGAUUGCAGGUUCGAUUCCCGGAAGAUCCUCAGAUAUUGGUAAGAAUGGACUGCAGGUUCGAUUCCCAGAGCUCCAUGCGGCCUCCUGACUUUUGAGUGAUUGUUCUUGUAUUCGUAGAUUCUAUUUGUAGCCUGUUCUGUUCUAUUUAUUGUCUUGCUAGAUACUUGAGAUUUACUGCAUUUCAUACUAUCAUUUUAUCUUAUACUCAUUCUUAUGUUCAUAUCAGUAGGGCCUCGACCUUCCUCGUCACUACUCCACCGAGGUUAGGCUUGGCACUUACUAAGUACCACUGUGGUUUACUCAUGUUACUCUUCUGCACACUUUUGCUAUGCAAAUCCAGGUACUACUGGUUGGACGCGCUAUUAGGGAUUUUGGAGCUACAUUUGGAGGCUCUAGGUAUGCAUCUGUCGCGUCCAUUGAUCCGAAGAAUUUUGCUAUGCAGAUCUUGGUGCUUCUGGUCGAGCGCGCUAUCAGUGAUUUCAGAGUUACACUUGGAGACUUGAGAUAUACAUCUGCCGCGUCCGUAGAUCCGAAGAAUCUCCUUCUAUUCUACCUUUUAGUUAGCAGUUUCAUUCAUGUAUUCAAUUGUUGUAGACACUUCUGGAUGUCAGAUUCGUGUGUUAUGUUUUUACUCUUAGCCUGUGUUGCCCGUAGAUUUCCGGGUCUUGGAGGUUGUUACAUUGUUUGAGUUGAAGUGUAUGUGUCGGGCGGCACACCAUACAUUUUCUUAUGUUAUUCAGUAUUGUUUAUCAUUUUCGUAAAAGUUGUUGAAUUUCCGCAAUGUGUCAGGCUUACCUAGUCGCGAAAACUGGGUGCAGUCAUGACGGGUUUACGAUUUGUGAACUAGGUUCAUGACAAGUUGGUAUCAGAGCUCUAGGAUCAUAUGAGUCAUGAGACACAUGCCGGUUAUUUAGAGUCUUGCUGAUCGGUACAGAGACGUCUGUACUUAUCUACGGGAGGCUACGUAACUAUUUAGGAAAAUCUUCACUUCAUUUGAAUUCUUGUCGUGCUAUGUUUUUGACCUCGAUUCUAAACUUCUGUCUUCUAUUCUCUCACAGAUGGUGAGGACACGCACGACCCGAGACAAUCAGGCACCUGCACUCCCUCCUGCAUCCGCUAAAGGCAGGGGCCGGGGUAGGGGUCGUUGACGCGUGCGGGGUGCAGCUAGGGCACCUGCGCGAGUAGCCGCCGAGGUGCCACCAGCGGAUCUAGUCAGGACUCAGGCAUCAAAGAUGCCCACAGCCACCACUACUCCAGCUGUUCAGGAGGCAUUGGCGCAGUUUAUGAGCAUGUNNNNNNNNNNNNNNNNNNNNNNNNNNNNNNNNNNNNNNNNNNNNNNNNNNNNNNNNNNNNNNNNNNNNNNNNNNNNNNNNNNNNNNNNNNNNNNNNNNNUCCACUGCCUCCCAUUGGCGCAGUUUAUGAGCAUGUAUACCACACUGUCACAGGAAGGGUUGCUUCCACUUCCUGCAGCCACGUCCCAGACCCGGGGAGGAGCCCAGACUCGCGCAGCCAGCGGUUCAGAGUAGAGGGUGCAUAUGGGACUGAUUCUAGAUAUUAUUCCUACCCAGCCUGCAGUACCGCUUCUGCCCGAGGAUGGGGCACAUGCUUCGGUGGAUGAGCAGCGUAGGUUAGAGCGGUUCAAGAAGUAUGACCCUCCUAUUUUCAACGGACUAGCUACAGAUGAUGCUUUCGGGGUUUUGGAGAAUUGUCACCGCAUGUUUUGCACCAUGGGUAUUACUGCUUCGAGUGGGGUUUCCUUUGUAGCUUUCCAGCUUUGGAGAGCCGCCUAUGACUGGUGGCGAACCUUUGAUUUAGAUAGCCCGGACGAGGCUGCCUCCCGUACUUGGACUCAGUUUUUAAAUAUAUUUCUGAGGGAGUUUGUUCCCCAGAGCCUCCGAGAUGCAUGGCGUGUGGAGUUUGAGAACUUGCGCCAGGGCCUUAUGAUUGUCUCUGAGUAUGACAUCUGUUAUACUAGGUUGGCCAGACAUGCGCCUGCUUUGGUGGCUACUAUUCAUAGGGAUGUUCAAAACCGAUCCGAAACCGAAACCAAAAACCGAUCCGAAAUCGAAGCUUAAUGGCUUACUGGUAAUGGCUUAACGGCUUAACGGACGGGGAACAGAUUGAAUUUGUUCUAUUAAUGACUUAUCAGAUUGAGGAUAGAUUAUUUAAUUUUCUUAACGGGUAACCCGUUAAUAAUAUAAAUAUAUAUAAUUUAUUUUUAUUUAUAUAUAUUAAAUAUAAAAAAAUUAAAAACCUUGAAAAUGAAUAACAAAAACAAACAAAGUUACAAUUUACAAAUUGGUCGUAUGUUAGCAGAGAAAAUACCAAUUCACGAAGAUUUUAAUCUUCUUAUAUUAGAAGUUUCAGAGACGAUGCUAAGUGUUUUAGAUCAAACAUAUCUAUUUCAAGUACUGCUUCUUCCCUGGCUACACCUUAAGAGGUAAUAUUAGUACUAUUUCCCUCUUCCUUCCUCAUUAUUGUUUUAUGUUACUAACUAUUUUCUCAUAAAGAUUUAAUCUUUUUUACAGAAGAAAUUGAUCCUUCAACUUAUUCUUUUGCCACUGCCCUUAAAGGUGAGUCCUUUAGAAUAUCAGUCAAAACUUCUGUUUUACACAUCUUUUACCACUUCCCUUAAAGGUGAGUCCUUUAGAAUAUCAGUCAAAACUUUUGUUUUACACAUGCAAAUUCAACAUGUAGAGUCAUGCGUAAUAUUUUAAUUUCUUUAGCAAAUGUGUAUAUUUUAAUCCAAUAUGCCGAAUAUGCCUGCCAUGGAUGGUGCCCUACUCCAUCUACUAAUUUAGCUUCUGUCAAUUCUUUUCUAGUGGCAUUCAUCGGCAUCCUUUGUUUGCUUCUUUGUUAUCCGGAAAAGGGUUUAAAAUCAGUUGUGUUUACCUAAUGUCAGGCUGAUAACUGCCAGAUAACCGCCUGUUAAGAGCUAAAUCGUUACCAAUCUGCCCGCUAUCUUAUCAGGUGGCUAACAGAUUAAUACAUUUGAAAGCCGAUAACCGUUAAGAGUAAAUAACCGCCCAAUACGCCCGAUAAGCAGCCCUAACUAUUUGUGAGAGGGUUCCCAGGUUUAUGGAGGGUCUUAUUCCUUCCAUCAGGUCUGGCAUGGCGCGAUAGUUGGAGAUGGAUAUACCCUAUCAGCAGGUGGUGAGUAUAGCCAGGAGGAUUGCAGGUUUAUCGAGAGUUUUAUUCCUUCCAUUAGGUCUGGCAUGGUGCGAGAGUUGGAGAUGGAUAUACCCUAUCAGCAUUUGGUAAGUAUAGCCAGGAGGAUAGAGGGUAUGCAUGCCAGAGAGCUAGAGGAGAGAGAGGCCAAGAGGUCUUGAGAGUCUUGCCAUUUAUCUGGUACCCGUACUUCAGGAGCAGGCAACAUGGUAGGGGCUAUGUGGGUCGCCCAGUUCACUCAACUCUUCCUUCAUCCAACAGUACCCCAGCACCUCCCAGAUCUCUGGAGCCUUAUUAUGCACCUCCAGUUUCUAGUGUGCUUCCUGCGCAGGGUACCUCCAGAGGUUAGUCUAGCAGGGGUAGAUCCACUCAGUCACAGCCACCGCACCCUCACACAACUUGUUAUGAGUGCGGGGAUACCUGCUAUUUGGUUAGAGAGUGCCCCAGACGUGGGAGGGGUGUGUCUUCUCAGACUUCACAGCUUCAGCAUGCUCCACAAGGUCCGCAUGCCACUGUUCCAGCUCUAGCUGCCACCCCACCUGCGCAGCCAGCCAGGGGCGGGGAUCGAGGAGAUAGAGGUCGCCCUCGAGGGAGAGGCCGGGCCAGAUUUUAUGCUAUUCCUGAUCGUGCCGAGGCUGUCGCCUCUGAUUCUGUUAUCACAGACAUUAUAUUGGUUAGUCACAGAGAGGUAUCGGUUCUAUUCGAUCCAGGUUCUAAUUCUUAUGUGUCAUUUUAUUUUGCCUCGCAUUUGGGUACAGCCCGAGAGACCUUGAGCUCUCCUAUUUAUGUUUCUACUCCCGUGGGAGAUUCCCUUGUUGUGGACCACAUAUAUCGGUCAUGUUUGGUUAUUAUUCGUGGUUUUGAGACCUGGGCAUAUCUUUUAUUACUUGAUAUGGUUGAUUUUGAUAUUAUCUUGGGCAUAGACUGGCCCCAGUUAGCUAUUCUUGAUUGUCACGCUAAGACCGUUACGCUGGCUAUGCCUGGUUUUCCACGUAUUUAGUGGAGCGGUACUUUUGAUCACACUCCCAGUAGAGUUAUAUCCUUUCUUAAAUCUCAGCGUAUGGUUGAGAAGGGGUGCGCCAUGUAUUUAACCUAUGUGAGAGAUAUCAGUGCUGAUACCCCUUCUGUUGACUCUGUUCAAGUGGUAUGGGAUUUUCCCGAUGUGUUUCCAGCUGAUCUUUCGGGCAUGUCGUUCGAUCAAGACAAUGAUUUUGGUAUUUAUUUGUUGCCGGGCACUCAGCCCAUAUCUAUUCCUCCUUACCGUAUGGCUCCUCCUGAGUUGANNNNNNNNNNNNNNNNNNNNNNNNNNNNNNNNNNNNNNNNNNNNNNNNNNNNNNNNNNNNNNNNNNNNNNNNNNNNNNNNNNNNNNNNNNNNNNNNNNNNNNNNNNNNNNNNNNNNNNNNNNNNNNNNNNNNNNNNNNNNNNNNNNNNNNNNNNNNNNNNNNNNNNNNNNNNNNNNNNNNNNNNNNNNNNNNNNNNNNNNNNNNNNNNNNNNNNNNNNNNNNNNNNNNNNNNNNNNNNNNNUUGCCUCAUAUUGAUGAUCUAUUUGACCAGCUUCAGGGCGCACAUGUGUUUUCUAAGAUUGAUUUGCGCUCAGGUUAUCACCAGCUAAAGAUUCGGGAUUCGUAUAUCCCGAAGUCUGCUUUCAGGAAUCGGUAUGGUCAUUACGAGUUCCUUGUCAUGUCAUUUGGGCUGACCAACGACCCAACAACUUUCAUGCAUUUGAUGCACGGUGUAUUCAGGCACUAUCUCGACUCAUUUGUCAUUGUUUUCAUAGAUGAUAUUCUUGUAUACUCCCGGAGUCGAGAAGAUCAGGAGCAGCACCUUAGGACAGUGCAUCAGACCCUGAGAGAAAAUAAAUUAUAUGCAAAGUUCUCAAAAUGUGAGCUUUGGUUGAGUUCUGUGGCAUUCCUAGGCCACAUGAUAUCGAGUGAGGGCAUUCGGGUAGAUCCGAAGAAGGUGGAGGCCGUGCAGAGUUGGCCAAGGCCCUCCUCAACUACAAAGAUCCGCAGUUUUAUUCGGGUAGAUCCAAAUAAGGUGGAGGCCGUGCAGAGUUAGCCCAGGCCCUCCUUAGAUUUAGAGAUUCACAGUUUCGUUGGCCUGGCAGGGUAUUACCAUCGUUUUGUGGAGGGGUUCUCGUCGAUUGCAGCCCAUAUGACUAGGUUGACCCAGAAGGGUGCUCCUUUUUAGUAGUGAGACGAGUGUGAGGCGAGCUUCCAAAUGCUCAAGACGGCUUUGACUUCAGCCCUUAUUCUGAUUUUGCCUAUUGGUUCGGGGUUCUAUACAGUAUAUUCUGAUGCCUCACGAGUUGGACUUGGAGCGGUAUUGAUGUAGGACGGUAAAGUGAUUACCUACACGGACAAAAAGUUUAAGGUGCAUGAAAAGAACUAUCAUGUCCAUGACCUUGAGUUAGCUGCUAUUGUUCACUCCUUAAAGAUCUGGCGUCAUUAUUGUUACAGCGUCCCUUGUGAGAUUUACACGGAUCAUCGGAGUUUGCAGCACUUGUUCAAGCAGAAGGAUCUGAACUUGCGCCAAAGGAUAUGGUUGGAGCUACUGAAGGAUUAUGAUAUUGCUAUUCCUUAUCACCCGGGCAAGGCCAGUGUGGUAGCCGAUGCCUUGAGUCGCCGGGCAGAGAGUCUGGGGAGUUUUGCAUAUUUACCAGCUUCAGAGAGACCUAUGGCGAUGGAUGUUCAGGCUUUAGCCAGUCAGUUCAUGAGAUUGGACAUUUCGGAGCCCAGUCGGGUUCUAGCUUGUAUGGUUUCUCAUUCUUCAUUAUUCGAUCAUAUCAGGGAACAACAGUAUGAUGACCCUCAUUUGCUUGUCCUCAGGGACACAGUUCAGCAUGGCGAUGCUAAGGAUGUAACUAUUGGAGAUGACGAGGUAUUGAGGAUGCAGGGUCAGAUUUGUGUGCCCGAUGUUGAUGAUAUUUGGGAGUUGACAUUGACUGAGGCCCAUAUCUCGUGGUACUCCAUCCAUCCGGGUUCCGCGAAGAUGUAUCAGGAUCUGAGGAAGCAUUGCUGGUGGAGGCGGAUGAAGAAGAACAUAGCAGAGUUUGUGGCUAGAUGCCUCAACUGUCAGCAUGUAAAGGCUGAGCACCAGAGGCCGGGAGGGUUACUCCAGGAGAUGGAGAUUCCAGAGUGGAAAUGGGAGAAUAUCACCAUGUAUUUUGUGACUGGUCUCCCUCUGACGGCGAGGAAGUUUGAUUCUAUUUGGGUUAUUGUGGAUCGGCUGACCAAGUCUGCUCAUUUCAUUCCAGCAUGUACUUCUUACUCAACAGAGUGGUUAGCAGGGAUUUAUAUCAGGGAGAUUGUCCGUCUGCACGACAUUCCAUUUUCUAUAAUCUCAAACAGGGGUUCGGUGUUUACAUCACGAUUUUGGAGAGCCGUUCAGCAUGAUUUGGGUACCCGGGUGACCAUGAGUAUAGCUUUUCACCCUCAGACGGACGGACAGUCCGAGCGCACUAUUCAAAAUUUUGAGGAUAUGCUCCGUGCGUGCGCGAUUGAGUUUAGAGUUUGCAUACAACAACAGGUAUCAGUCCAGUAUUCAGAUGGCGCCUUAUGAGGCCUUAUAUGGUAGGAGAUGUAGAUCCCUGGUGGGUUGGUUCGAGCCGGGCGAGCCCGGCUAUUGGGCACUUAGUUGGUUCAGGAUUCGGUUGAGUCCAUACAGAAGAGUUAUGCGAAACGGAAGGUUCGUGAUGUAUCCUUUUAUGGUUGGUGAGUGGGUUUUGCUUUCGGUCUCGCCUAUGAAAGGUGUCAUGAGGUUUGGAAAGAAAGGGAAGUUGAGCCCGAGGCUCAUUGGCCCAGUUGAUAUUUUUAGGCAGAUUGGGAAGGUUGCUUAUAAGCUUGCCUUACCUCCCAGUUCGGCCGGGGUUCAUCCAUUAUUUUAUGUUUCGAUGCUUCGGAGGUAUCACGGUGACCCGUCUCACGUGUUGGAGUUCACUUCAGUCUAGUUGAAACAAUGACUUGUCAUGUGUUGAGGAGCUAGUGUCAAUAUUAGAUAGGCAGGUCUGAAAGCUCAGGUCAAAGGAUAUAACUUCAGUAAAGGUUCAGUGGUGGGGUCAGCCGGCCAAGGAAGCGACUUGGGAGACCGAGAGGGAUAUGCGCAGUCGAUACCCUCAUCUUUUUGCUACUUCAGGUAUCUUCUCUAUGCUCGUUCGAGGAUGAACAAAUGUUUAUGUGUAGGAGGAUGUGACGACUCGGCCGGUCGUCUUUGGAAUUUAUGCCCCGUUUCCCCAUUACUGCUUCCCCUAAGUUCAUUUCUGCUAUUUUGGUUUGCCGGGAUGUUCGGUAAUAGAAUUUGGAAUGUUUUGGGACACUUAGUUCCUAAGUGAGAGCUUAAGUGUUGAAAAAUGGUCCGUAAUCAGAACAGUGUGAAGAUGACCUCGGAAUGGAAAUCCGAGGUUCCGUUACCUCCGUUAGGUGAUUUCAGGGUUGGGAACGUGUUCGGAAUGUAUCCUGGAUGUCCGUAGCUCAUUUAGGCUAGAAAUGCCGAAAGUUAGAAUUUUGAAGUUUACGGUCCGAUAGUGAAUUUUUGAUUCUAGGGUCGGAACAGGAUUCCGGAAGUUACUCUAGCGCCUUCAUGUCAUUUGGGAUGUGCGUGCAAAAUUUCAGGUCAAUCGGACGUGUGAUCUGAGGGUCGGAACGAGAUUCCGGAAGUUGUUGUAGCACCGCCAUGUCAUUUGGUACGUGCGUGCAAAAUGUAAGGUCAAUCAGACGUGAUUUGGUUAGGUUUGGAAUCGAAAGCGAGUUUGGUUAUGUUUUGAAAUUUUUAAGUUCAAAUUAUUGAUUAAUUCGUGUUUCCGGCGUUGUUUUAGGUGGUUUAAGGAUUGGUACAUGUUUGAAUGACGUUAUGGAAUAUGUCCGUAGGUUUGGUUGAGGUCCAGGGGGCCUCACGUGUGUUAAAAUUUCAGGUCAAUCAGACGUGCUUUGGUUAGGUUUGGGAUCGAAAGCGAGUUUGGUUAUGUUUUGAAAAUUUUAAGUUCAAAUUAUUGAUUAAUUCGAGUUUCCGGCGUUGUUUUAGGUGGUUUAUGGAUUGGUACAUGUUUGAAUGACGUUAUGGAAUAUGUCCGUAGGUUUGGUUGAGGUCCCAGGGGCCUCAGGUAUGUUUCGGAUACUCAAAAGAGCAUUUUUGGAGUUGAAUACAUUGCAGAAUUCUUCAGCUGUUGAAGGUCUUUUUUUCCUUCUUCGCGGUCGCGUCCCAUUUCACGAGAUCGCAUAGGCCAAUCAGGUAGGGUCCCAAAUUCCUUAAAUCAUGAUCGCAGGGAUUGGUUCGCGAUCGCGUAACUCUAACCUCUCCCCUCUUCGCGUUCGCGUGCCUUCUUAUGCGAUCGCGUAAGGCCAUCUCCUUUCCGUCCGUGAUCGCAUGCUCUUUCUCGAGAUCGCGUAGGGAUUUUUCCUGGACCCUCUAUUUUGAUCUUCGCGAUUCACUAAAUACCUGGGCAAAUAUUAAUAUUUCAAUAACGAAGCCUUCUUCCAUUUUUACAAAAACUCAAGCUAGAGAGCUCGGUCUUGGGAGAUUUUUUGAGGGAUUUUCAGAGGAAAAAAUUGGGUAAUGAUUCCUUACUCCUCUAUGACUAAAACCCACUAAUCUAAUCUCAAAUUCAAGCNNNNNNNNNNNNNNNNNNNNNNNNNNNNNNNNNNNNNNNNNNNNNNNNNNNNNNNNNNNNNNNNNNNNNNNNNNNNNNNNNNNNNNNNNNNNNNNNNNNNNNNNNNNNNNNNNNNNNNNNNNNNNNNNNNNNNNNNNNNNNNNNNNNNNNNNNNNNNNNNNNNNNNNNNNNNNNNNNNNNNNNNNNNNNNNNNNNNNNNNNNNNNNNNNNNNNNNNNNNNNNNNNNNNNNNNNNNNNNNNNNNNNNNAUGGUCAUUUCACAUAUUUUCGCGCCUUAGCUUUAAUUUUAACAGUGUAAUUAGUUACUUGCUAUGUUAUUUACAAUAUGUAUUUGGUUUGAAUAGAUUUGGGCCACUCGGAGUCUGAUACUUGUGGCAAGGGCAUUGUUUCUUAGCGGUUUUGUACUGGUUCGAGGUAAGUGGCUAGUUUAACUUUGUGUUGGGGACCCUUCCCCUUAGGAUAUCCUUGCUUGUUGUUUAAAUGCCUUGUGCGCGAGGUGACGGGCGCGUACUUGUGCUAGUUGUUGAAAAUUCNNNNNNNNNNNNNNNNNNNNNNNNNNNNNNNNNNNNNNNNNNNNNNNNNNNNNNNNNNNNNNNNNNNNNNNNNNNNNNNNNNNNNNNNNNNNNNNNNNNNNNNNNNNNNNNNNNNNNNNNNNNNNNNNNNNNNNACUUGUUUUAGCUUAGGAAAAACAUAUUUGUAAUUUAUUUGCUCUACUUGACUAAAUUGCAAUAUCUGUCCUCUUUGUGAGCAUUCUAGGCUCUAGAUCUUUACUUGUUGUUGUACUUGGCUUCUUUCUGUUAAAUAUUAAAUUGUUGUGAUGUGUUUACGUUUGAGACUACGGGUUCAAUUCCCGAGAGAUCCCCUUGUUACUGAUUUGAUGGACUAUGGAUUCAAUUCUCGGUAGAUCCUCUGUUAUUGAUAUGAUGGACUACGAGGUCAAUUCCCGGUAGAUCCCCUGUUGUUGAUAUGAUGGACUACGGGUUCAAUUACCAGUAGAUCCUCUGUUAUUGAUGUGACGGACUACGGGUUCGAUUCCCGGUAGAUCCCUUGUUAUUGAUGUGACGGACUACGGUUUCAAUUCCCGGUAGAUCCUCUGUUAUUGAUAUGAUGGACUACGGGUUCAAUUCCCGGGAGAUCCUAUGAUGUUGGUAAGAUGGACUGCCGGUUUGAUGCCCGGAAGAUCCUCAGAUAUUGGUAAGAAUGGACUGCGGGUUCGAUUCCCCGAGCUCCAUGCCGCAUCCUGAUUUUUGAGUGAUUGUUCUUGUAUUCAUAGAUUCUAUUUGUAGCAUGUUCUGUUCUAUUUAUUGUCUUUCUAGAUACUUGAGAAUUACUGCAUUUCCUACUGUCAUUUUAUCUUAUAUUCAUUCUUAUGUUCAUAUCAGUAGGGCCUCGACCUUCCUCGUCACUACUCCACCGAGGUUAGGCUUGACACUUACUGAAUACCGCUGUGGUAUACUCAUGCUACUCUUCUGUACACUUUUGUUGUAUAGAUCCAGGUACUUUUGGUCGAGCGCGUUAUUAGUGAUUUCAGAGCUACACUUGGAGACUUGAGGUAUGCAUCUGCAGCGUCCGCAGAUCCGAAGAGUCUCCUUCUAUUCUACCUUUUAGUUAGCAGUUUCAUUCAUGUACUCAGUUGUUGUAGACACUUCUGGAUGUUAGAGCCGUGUGUUAUGUUUUUACUCUUAGCCUGUGUUGCCCGUGGGUUUUCGGGUCUUGGAGGUAGUUACAUUAUUUGAGUUGAAG
This 17472-nucleotide long non-coding RNA is filed under the name Nicotiana benthamiana. Its description in RNAcentral is "long non-coding RNA (NBEN_LNC039225)". Lineage: Eukaryota; Viridiplantae; Streptophyta; Magnoliopsida; Solanales; Solanaceae. The record is from RNAcentral.